Molecule: ribosomal RNA, 460 nt
Filed under: uncultured bacterium
Lineage: Bacteria
Description: partial 16S ribosomal RNA
Rfam family: Bacterial small subunit ribosomal RNA
Source: RNAcentral
CCUACGGGUGGCAGCAGUGAGGAAUAUUGGUCAAUGGGCGUAAGCCUGAACCAGCCAAGUCGCGUGAGGGAUGAAGGUUCUAUGGAUCGUAAACCUCUUUUAUAAGGGAAUAAAGUGCGGGACGUGUCCCGUUUUGUAUGUACCUUAUGAAUAAGGAGCGGCUAACUCCGUGCCAGCAGCCGCGGUAAUACGGAGGAUCCGAGCGUUAUCCGGAUUUAUUGGGUUUAAAGGUUGCGUAGGCGGCCUUUGAAGUCAGCGGGGAAAGUCUGUGGCUCAACCAUAGAAUUGCCGUUGAAACUGGGAGGCUUGAGUAUGUUUGAGGCAGGCGGAAUGCGUGGUGUAGCGGUGAAAUGCUUAGAUAUCACGCAGAACCCCGAUUGCGAAGGCAGCCGGCCAAGCCAUGACUGACGCUGAUGCACGAAAGCGUGGGGAUCAAACAGGAUUAGAUACCCCUGUAGUC